AUUGAACGCUGGCGGCAGGCCUAACACAUGCAAGUCGAGCGGAUGACGGGAGCUUGCUCCUUGAUUCAGCGGCGGACGGGUGAGUAAUGCCUAGGAAUCUGCCUGGUAGUGGGGGACAACGUUUCGAAAGGAACGCUAAUACCGCAUACGUCCUACGGGAGAAAGCAGGGGACCUUCGGGCCUUGCGCUAUCAGAUGAGCCUAGGUCGGAUUAGCUAGUUGGUGGGGUAAUGGCUCACCAAGGCGACGAUCCGUAACUGGUCUGAGAGGAUGGGCAGUCACACUGGAACUGAGACACGGUCCAGACUCCUACGGGAGGCAGCAGGGGGGAAUAUUGGACAAUGGGCGAAAGCCUGAUCCAGCCAUGCCGCGUGUGUGAAGAAGGUCUUCGGAUUGUAAAGCACUUUAAGUUGGGAGGAAGGGCAGUAAGUUAAUACCUUGCUGUUUUGACGUUACCGACAGAAUAAGCACCGGCUAACUCUGUGCCAGCCGCCGCGGUAA
This 500-nucleotide ribosomal RNA is filed under the name uncultured bacterium. RNAcentral describes it as "partial 16S ribosomal RNA". It matches the Rfam family "Bacterial small subunit ribosomal RNA", at positions 30 to 523 of the family's 1533-position model. The record is from RNAcentral.